CCGCCUCGCAUCAUGAUGUUGCUUCCGCGCCGCACGCGUAUCGCCGCACACGCGGCGAGAAGAGUUCACAGCUCACGUUUUUAUCAUCAAACAGUUUCGUCGUCGUUGGUUAGGCAGGCAGGUAAUGGGAGGCAGACAAUAAUAAGGCAUUAAGUGCACGAGCUAAAGGUAUAUGUUUUUGUUGUUUCGACGACGACUUGAUAUGGACGAACGAGGAAGAAGCACAAGAGAGCGCGAGUAAACGAGUGCGCGCGGGUUUUUCGUUCGGUUUAGAAGAUGCGAGAGAACAAUCCCCCAGCAGACAAGGUGGGUCGCGAAGUGUGAGCGAGACGGCACCACUCAAGGGUGGGGGAAUUGUGUAAAACCGUGCAAAAAUCUAGAGGAAGCUUCAGUUACAUUCAUAGAUUUACUUAAGAUCGGUUCGGUUCCUGAAGUCCUCUUCCCCCAGUUUUGUGUAUUGUGUGUUCACGGUGUGUUAUCAUCAUCAACAUCGGUCAAUCUGAGAAUCCGUUCAAGCGGUGUGGCGUAGGAAUAUUCGCUCGCAGACAGAACUGAGACCUAAGUGUCUUUCAAACUCGGUGUGACUCGGGACCCACAAUUCGAACAGAAUCCGGAACUUCCCGGGCCAAAUCGGGAAUCGAAGGGAAAACAGUAUUGAAAGUGCUCCAGCGGGAGGCGAGCGUGUAUUGUUGUGUGGCGAGGCGCGAGUGAUCUUCUGACUCUCCUUUUUCGCGGUGGCUGGUUCCACCACUCAAGGAAGAACAAGGAGUUCACCCACGAAAACAGCAAGGAGAAAUUAAAGUCGAAUUUUUCGGUUUACGUUUGGUGCGUGUCUCUGCGUAGGCAGCAGAACGAAAACAGUGCAAAAGUACGGCCCAACUCAAUCAACAGGAUUUCCACACGUCUUCUUUCAUUAAAAAAAAAAUAAAGUCGAGGAAAUUGUUUGUGUGACUUGUGGUGGCAGUGAGUGAAGUGAGCCAACAGGAAGAAUUCCAAUCCUGAGCAAUAAAGGAAAAGAACGGUGCGUGUGAGUUCAAGGAUAAUAAUUACAUAAUUUUCCGGGAUAAGCAGAAAGCAGAGCAAGCAGAGUAGGCCCUGAUUUACAAGAAGGAGUCGAAAACAGCGUGAAGGAUUCCACUCUCAACAACAGGUAAAGCAAAACAAUCAAACCGCAACCAUCAAAACAGUAAGUGCUACCAGUCAAUCCGCGUGACCACCGUGCAUUUCAAUCAACGCCUAUCAUUACCAUCUCGAUAGCCAAAGGUCAACCCACCACAUACCUGCUGAAGUGCAGCGCCGCCGCACUACCUUAGCCAAGUCUAGGCGACAUUGCUUGCGCAAAACAUGCCUUCGGGGCAAUAUGCGUGGUUGGUGGUGUUUCACAGAAAUGACCGUUUUUACGGUGUAUAUGUCAUCAGCUGUACAUAUGUACCUGCGCUGCCGUAACCGAGCCCACAUUCCACACCUUGCUUGGUGCAUCGGAUGGGAGCAUUUCUAUAAGGUUGUCGUCAUUCAUGAUGCACUCGGCGAUCGACGCAGCGUUGCUUUCAUCAGUUUUUCAUUUGCAAUGAUUUGUUGUCUUGUGAUCCCGAUCAGAAGAAAAUAACACACGAUCUUACCUAGUUGGGUUGUUGAUGUUGAUACCAAAACCUGUUAGAACUUGGUAGUUAAAAUAACAAAAAUCAACAUGAAUUGCAUGGGUACAGUAGUCGUUCGAUAACUGCAACAUGUUUAUGUUUCACUUACCGAAUGAAAUUCGAUAGCUGCAACAACUGACAGACGUCAAAGAACUGUCAGUUGCUGCAGAAUGCAGUCAAUGUGCAAUCGGAAAACAUCGCAUCGCUGAAAAAGUGCAUGCAAAAAACAUCGCAUCGCUGGUUGUACUUCAAAUCGUAAGCAGAGUACAUAGAGGCAAAUAAAUGACAUCAGCGUCCUCUGCAAAUGACCAUUCUACCUAUGGCACGGCAGGUACGACGGUACUCUGUGUCCAAGAAAGUUCCUCAAAUGUUCUGUUCGAUGUUUUUUUUUUUGAAUUCCAGUGACGACGCAAUACAAUUCGCAGACAGAUACUGGCACAUGCUCCGGAAAAUUCGGAACCAAUGCAAUUUGCUACAGGCAAGCUGGGCUAAACUAGAGAAAUCGCGUAGUAAAGCUCGAAUUCCGAAGAAGCUGGAGGGGCUCCUGCAAGAAUCACUGAAAAAAAAAGUUCCUGGGAGAAUCCCUCAAGGAGAUUCUGAGGGGAAUUCUCUGAAAACUUAUGAGGAAUCACUGAAGGAACUUCAGCAGACAUUGCAUAAGGAACUCCUGAAAAAAAAGACCCUGAAGGAGUUCCUGGAAUAGGUUCCUUCAAGAUUUCCAGGAAAAAUUCAAGAAGGGUUCCUGGUGAAAUUCCAGAAAGGGCUCAUAAAAAAACUGCAGGAUAUCCUGAAAAAAAAAACUAUGAUUAGGUUUGGGAAAAAUCCAUGAAGGGGUGUUUGUGCAAAUGUAUUGCCCCACCGAUGUAUAUAAUAUGAUAGUAUAUCCAUGUAUUGUGUCCCUAUCUGUAUGUAAUUCAAUAAAUAAAGAUUAGUGUUAUCUAUACCUCCGCCAUGGCCGGACGGUUGACCAAAGAUCGUUUAAUCAAAUUAUCCAAUCACACAACGUAGGAAAGAAAUAUCCCGUGCGCGAUCAAGGGGUUUCUAGAGAAAUCCCAAAAGGAAAUCGUGAAACAGUUGCUGAAGGAAUUUCAAGAGGAAUCAAUAAAGGAGUCCCUGGAGAAAUCUUUGAAGGAAUUCUUGGGAAAAUUUGUCUCCAACAAUUUCAGGAGAAAUUCCAGGAGAAGUUCCUGAAGAUUUUCUGAAAGAAUCUCUGAAAAACCAUUGAAGGAGUUCCUAGCGGAAUUCCUGAAAGAAUUUCUGGAAAAAUGUCUCCUGCAAUUACAAGAGAAAAUUCUACAGCUACUUCAGGAGAAAUCUCUUAAGAAAUUCAAAUCUCUAAAGAAUUCCGAACAGAAGUUCCUGGUAGAAUAAAAAAAAAUCCUGGAGGAAUCCUCGAAGCACUUGAAACCCCUGAAGGAUUCCUAGACCAGUAUCAACAGAAAUACAAAAAAAAUCCUGAAGGAACUCCAGGUGAAAUCCCUCGAAGAAUUCUAGAAGGAUUUUUUAAGGUAUUUCUCAGAAAAAUCCUCAAGAAAAUUCCUGGAAAUCGAACAAGGAAUUCUUGGGGAAAUUUGUCUCCAGAAAUUUCAGGAGAAAUUCCAAAAUCCAAGAGGAAUCCCCGAAGAAUUUCUGAAAAAUUUCUGAAGCAGCUCUUGAUGGAGUUCCUAGAGGAAUUCCCGAAAGAAUUUUCUGAAAAAAUGUGUCUUCAAUAACAAGAGAAAGUUCUCCAGCAACUUCAGGAGAAAUUUCUUAAGGAAUUCAAAGCUCUGAAGAAUUCCGAUCAGAAGUUUCUGGAGGAAUCGCUAAAAAAAUCCUGGAGGAAUACCCGAAAAAAAGCCUGGAGAAAUCCCCGAAGCACUUCCUGGUGAAUGCUUGAAAAAACUCCUGGAGAAACCCCUGAAGGAUUGCUAGAGGAGUA
Molecule: long non-coding RNA, 3555 nt
Organism: Aedes albopictus (Asian tiger mosquito)
Lineage: Eukaryota; Metazoa; Arthropoda; Insecta; Diptera; Culicidae
Exons: 2
Source: RefSeq, a predicted model, not a curated record